RNAcentral lists this long non-coding RNA (367 nucleotides) under Brassica napus (rape). RNAcentral describes it as "long non-coding RNA (BNAP_LNC020582)". The record is from RNAcentral. Lineage: Eukaryota; Viridiplantae; Streptophyta; Magnoliopsida; Brassicales; Brassicaceae.
AAUGAUCACAAGUUCUACCCUCUUUAUCAUCAUCUCAAAAAUCAAUCUAAACCCCUCACAUCACUCACCCAAUGUACAACUCUCUUCCUUUUUUAUUUUUUUCAUUUUUAUUUGACCCACUCACUAGGGAUUUUAAUCCACUUUCCACAAGCUCUAACCCUUUUUUUUUUUUUUUUCAUUUCCUUCCCCAACUUCUUUUUGAUCUUUUUUUUUUUUAGGAGGAAGGUUCUUUGUUGCAUAAUCAAGAGCUUCUUAUUAUUAUUAUUUUUUUAUAUAUAUAUCCCUAGGAGCUUUAUUUUCAUAUCUCUCAUUUUUUUUUUCACUCUCCAAACCCAAGAUAUUGAAAUUUAAAACACACAAACCCCUC